UCAGGUGGCAACGGCGGCGGGGCCCCACCUCUUCCCAUUCCGAACAGAGAAGUUAAGCCCGCCCGCGCCGAUGGUACUGCGUAAGCGGGAGAGUAGGUCGCUGCCUGGU
Molecule: ribosomal RNA, 109 nt
Filed under: Bacteroidales bacterium
Lineage: Bacteria; Pseudomonadati; Bacteroidota; Bacteroidia; Bacteroidales
Source: RNAcentral